AUGCUUCUGUUGGUGGACUCGGGUAGCACUCACACUUUUGUGAACUCAGAAUUUGCACGCAGGGCUGGCUGUCAGGUGCAAGAUGCAGAACCAGUGACAGUUCGAGUAGCUAAUGGUGAUACACUACAGUCCAAUCAACAAGUAGCUCAAUUGCAAUGGUGGUGCCAGGGAAACAUAUUUGCUACAGACAUGCGUUUGCUGGAUCUGGGUGCUUAUGAUGCAGUGCUAGGGGUCGAUUGGUUGGCGCAAUUCAGUCCUAUGAAUUGUCAUUGGGGCUUGAAAACAUUGGAGUUUCGUCAUGGCAGUACUAACAUUAAGCUACAAGGAGUGCGCGCGCUGACACAGCCGGCACUUACAGAAAUCAGAGCAGAGCAACUAUCCAAAUGGAUACAGGGCAAUGAGGUUUGGGCUCUAGCAGUGAUUCACACAACUGAAUCGGCGUCAGAAACCAAGGAGCCCGUGCCACCACAAGUGCAAGCGCUGCUUGAUGAGUUUGUUGAUGUGUUUCAGGAGCCAACGACUCUGCCCCCUCACCGCACUUUUGAUCAUGCAAUUCAUCUGGAACCCGGAGCUACUCCACCUAAUGUCCGACCGUACCGCUAUUCACCACUGCAGAAGGAUGAGAUAGAGCGCCAGUUGCAGAAAUGCUUCAGGCCGGUUUGA
Molecule: ribosomal RNA, 663 nt
Filed under: Triticum aestivum (bread wheat)
Lineage: Eukaryota; Viridiplantae; Streptophyta; Magnoliopsida; Poales; Poaceae
Description: partial small subunit ribosomal RNA
Source: RNAcentral